CGUAAAAUCUCAACUUAAUGGUAGUAAAUUAGCUUUAAAAUGCAUAUAUGUACUUAUAUGUAUGCAUAUGCUCUCAGCACAUUUAACUGAAAAUAAUAAAAGGAAAAACGAAAAAAAGGCCUCAAAAAGUUUUAUUUCAAGUUGCAUUACUAAAAAGUGGCGUACUUGAAGCGUUGCAUUAUAGCGUAGGUCAUAGUUGAAGCCAGAGAAACGAAAGUUAGUAGGCUGUUCUCGUAUAUGCAUAUGUAUUUAUUAUACGACAGAACAAAUGAGCGUUUUAUAUAUUAUUUUAGUGAUUAAAUUUAAAAAUAUAAUAAAAAAUAAAAAUAAAAAAAUAAAAAUAGAAAUAGAAAAAAAAUAAAUUAAUAAUAAAAAUAAAAUUAAAAAUUAAUUAAAAAUUAUUAGCACUUAAUGCUUAAUUUUUUUUUGUUAUGUAAGUAAAUAUUUUGCAAUAGAAAUAUAUAAUAUUUUGGAGUUCAACAAAAACUAUAUUGAAAAAUAGCAAAAAUCCAAAAAUAUUGCAAAUAAAAAACGUUUAGAGCGCAACAAAAAUGCGAAAAUUAAUAAACACAUAGUUAUUCAACAAAAUUACUCAACAAAAUGAACUUGUUACCUUAACGAUGUAAGCAAUCGAACAGUAACAUAAACGAUAUCACUAACUAAUAAAAAAAAAACAAUAUUCAAUGUUAAUAACAAGAAUCUGCAUGCGAAAAAAUUUCACAAUAUACAUACUUAGCCAAACUAACAGUUCAUAAUAGGAAUGCACCUUACAAAACUGAAUGAAAACUAAGUUCUCAAGCAAAGAAUAUAAAAUAAAAAUGCGAUUCCAUAUUACUUGUUUGCGCUUAUAAAACUGUUAUGAUAGUAACGUCAUAAUUAUCACACAAUUUCAUGUACAUAAUUUUUGCUCGAUUUACAAUUCCAAUUUUAAAUCAAUUAAAACCAUAAUAAUUAAUGUUGCAGAAUAUGUAAAUUAUAUACGAGUACAAUACAUACGAGUAUUAAUAUGUAUAGUUGACAUGCAUACCUUUGGCACAUGAUCACACCCGUUAGUGUAUUGAUUAGCUUUAGAACAUACAUACAUAUACAUACAUAUAUAUUUUCUCGAAACGAAAGUUAUUCAAUUAGGUCCGCGUAAAUCGGUGAUAUUGUUAAGUAUGUAAUUUUAUUUUUAUUUUCCACUGAACUACGUAUAUAAAUAAAACAAAAAAUAAAGUAAAUAAGACUUAAAUAAUAAAUUGUUGUUUAUUGUUGUAACAACAUUUCACUGAUAAGCUAAUUGAUUUAAGAUUAAUAAACGAGUACUCUUCGUUACUUCCGCUAUGCCAUAACUAUUAUAAGCGUUCAUUUAACUUUUUAAGUGAUGUCAGGAUUAAGAACUCAGCUCAUUCGAAAGAAAUAUGGCGCUGAGAACAGUCAAAGCUGUGCCAUCUUUACUGCAAAAGCAAAGCAGAUAUUUCUUGCAAAAUACAUUUGGCAAUUCUCGACACAAACAAACAUCUUCAAAUACAACUUACACUUCAACACCGAAUGCACGCACAGCCAGCAAAAAUAAGGAAUUACAAGAAUUUAACGACAGCACACAAAAAGAAAUUGAUCAUCACGCGCGUUUAUCAGCGACUUGGUGGGAUUUAAAUGGUCCGUUACAUGGUUUACACAAGCUGAACGAAAUAAGAGUUCCUUUCGUAAGCCAUGGUUUGAUGGCGCAAAGUACCGUCGACAUGUGUUUGAGCAAUACAGUUGAGGUACUUCAAGGUAAAAAUAUAUUGGAAGUAGGUUGUGGUGGCGGCAUAUUAACGGAAGCGUUGGCACGUCUAAAUGCUAAUGUAACUGGCGUUGACUUGGGCGCAGACGUAAUAAUGACGGCUGAGAAACAUUUAAAGGAAAAUAGUCCCGAACUAGUCGAGCGUAUAACUUAUAAAACCGAGUCAAUAGCGGAACAUGCAAAUAAAUAUACAAAUCAUUAUGAUGCAAUUGUCUGCUCAGAAGUGUUGGAACAUAUUGACGAGAAAGAAAUUUUCUUAAAAGAUUGCGUUAGGGCUAUAAAGCCAGGCGGUUCAAUAUUUAUAACGACCUUGAACAAAACGGUUCUACAAUGGUUCAUAGGAAUUAUUCUCGGAGAAUAUAUAUUUGGGGUUGCACCAAAAAACACACAUCACUGGAGUAAACUGAUAGCACCACAAGAUGUGAAACGCAUUCUAACUGCAUUAAAUUGUCAGACGGUAUCGCUGUAUGGCUGCACUUACGAUAUUUUCUAUAAGCGUUGGCGGUGGACUGAUACUACCAAACUGUGCUAUGCUCUCCACGCUGUUAAAGCUGUAUAAAUAAUUUCGUAUAAAUUUAUUUAAUCUUUUUACAAAACCAUAAACUAUUUAUUUCUAAUACUCAAUGUUAUAUUUACAUAAUAAACACAAACGAAACGUUUUGAAGCAUUGUGGAAGCAAUCAGGAAGCGUUUUUUUCACUUUGGCCAUACUAUUUGUUAAAACGUUGUAAAAAGCUUUAUUUUUCGUAAUUUUGUUGGAUUUGAAUUAUUAUUUGAGCGUGGAGUUCUACCACAACCGGAAAUAAUAACAAACAAACACAGGCAACACAAUAUAUUUCAAAAAAAAAAAUUAUCUGCAGUAUAUUUACAUAUAUUCAUAUAUCAACAGAUAAAUUAAUUUUGUAAUUUAAUUAAAAAUAAUAAAUAAAACAAGAUAGAAAUGAAACUGGUUCUAUAAAUAUAUUCCAGAUAUAUAAUUUAAAGGGCCAUAGGAACCCAACGGUUUUACAUAUUCGCAUUUGUGCUGCAAAAAUAACCAGCUGGCAGCACGAUUUGCUGUCAUUUCCAUAUGAUCUCUAUUUAUUUAUUUAAAACUAUAUUAAGUGUAUUAAAUAUAAAACUUGAAUUUGAUUGGUUUGAGGUGUAAUAUUUAAGUUUAUUUUAAAUAAGUGUCAAUAAGAAGUCAAAAUGUUGUCCCCUUUAUUAAAAAUUCAAAGGCAUUUAUUGGUUGGUACUCAUUAUCCCCGAUAUGCACAAAUAGCUGCCAAUAAGAUUAACAAUUCGAUAGCUAAUGGCCAAACGCAGAGAACGCACACACAUACCGCUAGUACACAAAAAGAAAUUGAUCAUCAUGCCAAAUUAUCAGCAAACUGGUGGAAUUUAAAUGGACCGAUGCAAAGUUUGCAUAAACUAAACGAACUUAGAGUGCCUUUUAUACGAGACGGUAUCACAGCGCGCGGUAACGUAGAUCCAAAGUUAAUAAAUACAACCAAAGUCUUACAGGAUAAGACUAUAUUGGAAGUAGGUUGUGGGGGCGGUAUAUUAACUGAGGCAUUAGCACGCCUUAGUGCAAAAGUAACGGGUGUUGACUUGGGCGAAGACGUAAUAAGAACUGCAAGAGAACAUUUGGAGGAACAUAGUACAGAUUUGAAACAUAAUAUAACUUACAAAAUUGAGCCAAUUGAGGUACAUGCGAAAACCAAUUUAAACCACUACGAUGCUGUUGUCUGCUCAGAAGUGUUGGAACAUAUUGACGAUAAAGCCGGGUUUUUAACACAUUGUGUUCAAACACUGAAGCCAGGAGGAUCAAUAUUCAUUACUACCAUGAACAAAACUAUUCCACUAUGGAUAGGAGGAAUUUUUCUUGCUGAAAAUGUAUUUGGUAUCGCACCGAAAAAUACUCAUCACUGGGAAAAAUUAGCAUCACCACUAGAUGUGCAACGUAUUCUAUCUGCAUUGGAUUGUCAAACUGUAUUGAUAAAUGGCUUCACAUACGAUGUUUGUCGUAGACGCUGGCGGUGGAUUAAUUCUAACUUAAUGUGCUAUGCACUACAAGCUAUUAAGGUUGCAUAAAUUAGUGGUCAAUUUUUAUUAUUAGUGUUAUUUCUAUGAUGCCUCAAACACAAAGUUAAAAAAAUAAUAAAAUUAAUAUACUGUUAAAAAA
Molecule: non-coding RNA, 3928 nt
Organism: Bactrocera oleae (olive fruit fly)
Lineage: Eukaryota; Metazoa; Arthropoda; Insecta; Diptera; Tephritidae
Source: RefSeq, a predicted model, not a curated record